Molecule: ribosomal RNA, 253 nt
Filed under: uncultured bacterium
Lineage: Bacteria
Description: partial 16S ribosomal RNA
Rfam family: Bacterial small subunit ribosomal RNA
Source: RNAcentral
UACGUAGGGUGCGAGCGUUAAUCGGAAUUACUGGGCGUAAAGUGUGCGCAGGCGGCCGAGCAAGUCGAGUGUGAAAGCCCCGAGCUUAACUUGGGAACUGCGCUCGAAACUACUUGGCUAGAGUGUGGCGGAGGGAGGUGGAAUUCCACGUGUAGCGGUGAAAUGCGUAGAGAUGUGGAGGAACACCGAUGGCGAAGGCAGCCUCCUGGGCCAACACUGACGCUCAUGCACGAAAGCGUGGGGAGCAAACAGG